UGGGGAAUUUUCCGCAAUGGGCGAAAGCCUGACGGAGUGACGCCGCGUGUGGGACGAAGGCCUUCGGGUCGUAAACCACUGUCAGUGGGAAAGAAGGGCGUCGGCGCGAUAACCGCCGGCGUCUGACGGUACCUGCAGAGGAAGCCCCGGCUAACUCUGUGCCAGCAGCCGCGGUAAGACAGAGGGGGCAAGCGUUGCUCGGAAUUACUGGGCGUAAAGGGCGCGUAGGCGGGAUGGCAAGUCGGUCGUGAAAUCCCUCGGCUCAACCGAGGUGCGUCGAUCGAUACUGCCGUUCUUGAGGGUUGCAGAGGAGACUGGAAUUCCCGGUGUAGCGGUGAAAUGUGUAGAGAUCGGGAGGAACACCGGUGGCGAAGGCGGGUCUCUGGGCAACUCCUGACGCUGAGGCGCGAAAGCGUGGGGAGCAAACGG
RNAcentral lists this ribosomal RNA (429 nucleotides) under uncultured bacterium. RNAcentral describes it as "bacterial SSU rRNA". It matches the Rfam family "Bacterial small subunit ribosomal RNA", at positions 355 to 775 of the family's 1533-position model. The record is from RNAcentral.